ACAAAGUAGGAUUUCUCAGUUAGCUGGGUAACUUGAAUCCUUAAGGUCAGUUGUGUGUCUUGAUUGUCCUUAAGGAAUGUGCCUGACCUAAACGGGACUAACAUGACUUCUGGCUUAAGUUAACUCAGCUGAGAAAUCAUUAUUCAUGAAGCAACCCCUAGAUAUUCUGUCGGAUUUAAGGUACCCCAGUUUAAAUGGACUUAGUCCAGACCUAUAUCCGACAACAUAUCUUGCUAACCCAAAAAUCCAGCUUCAUAAUACGGUCUCCAAGUUACUAAUAAUUAUGUUUUUGUUUUAAACCAAUUCAAAUAAGGUGUGGCAUUGGAAUUAGUUGAAAGUGUCUGUAUUUUGGUUACAGAACCCUAACUUGUCACCUCUUAAGCCCACUUUUCGACCAAAAUGGGUCCUACAGCUCACACAGGGGAAACUCAAAUGGCCAAAAGAUCAAUCAGCCAACAGGAAGUGGAGGGGACCACAGACCUGUCACUCAAGUUAUCCAGACCAAUCCCAGUGGACGAUCUUACUCUAAGAGAGACCUCUGUCUUACCCUGAGGCACCUACCAACAAAGAUGACUGCUUUGAGUAUGAGUAAUACACUAAACAGUCGAAAGAGAGAAGGACGACCGCGGCUGUCGUCAAGCUGUACUGUACUUCACACUGGAGUAUAUGCUUCCCAUUGGGUCCUGCUGCUGUGACUGAUGGUGUGAUACGCAGAGCUGAAUGUUAGAUCCACGUCAACUUCUGCACACAUGCUGAGGUGGCAGCGGGAUGCAGUCGAGUUUUCUGAAAGAUUCAUAGCUCCGAGUCGCGGGGAAACGAGGAGCAACUCAGAGUGUCGUUCGAAGAGCCGGGCUGCGGGGUAUAAAGGGACCAAUCCUCAGUAUCCUGGCAUCGGUGAACAGUGCGGUCCAAUGUCGACUUCCACACAGGAGCUGGUGAGGAAUGUGAGAAGAAGCAGAAGUGCAGGUGCUUCAGAAGGUUCCCCUUGUUAAGCCCGAUAGAGAUGCUGCAGGCUGGCCUCUGCAAUAGCAGGUUCACAUUUGAAAUGUGUCAAAGAUGCUUUUAGAAUCCUGCUGCUCAUAGUGGAAGUCAGUGAUGUGUGACCCCCAAC
This is a long non-coding RNA of Paramormyrops kingsleyae, 1111 nucleotides long. RefSeq lists it as uncharacterized. The record is from RefSeq and is a predicted model, not a curated record. NCBI's taxonomy places the organism in Eukaryota, Metazoa, Chordata, Actinopteri, Osteoglossiformes, Mormyridae.